AUUUUUAUAGCUUAGUGGCACAGCAUCUGCCUGGCAAGUACAAGGUCCUGAGUUUGAUUCCCAGUGCAAAAA
This 72-nucleotide transfer RNA is filed under the name Cavia porcellus (domestic guinea pig). It matches the Rfam family "tRNA". From Rfam's summary of the family: Transfer RNA (tRNA) molecules are approximately 80 nucleotides in length. Their secondary structure includes four short double-helical elements and three loops (D, anti-codon, and T loops). Further hydrogen bonds mediate the characteristic L-shaped molecular structure. tRNAs have two regions of fundamental functional importance: the anti-codon, which is responsible for specific mRNA codon recognition, and the 3' end, to which the tRNAs corresponding amino acid is attached (by aminoacyl-tRNA synthetases). tRNAs cope with the degeneracy of the genetic code in two manners: having more than one tRNA (with a specific anti-codon) for a particular amino acid; and 'wobble' base-pairing, i.e. permitting non-standard base-pairing at the 3rd anti-codon position. The record is from Rfam by way of RNAcentral. Lineage: Eukaryota; Metazoa; Chordata; Mammalia; Rodentia; Caviidae.